RNAcentral lists this ribosomal RNA (494 nucleotides) under uncultured marine bacterium. Its description in RNAcentral is "bacterial SSU rRNA". It matches the Rfam family "Bacterial small subunit ribosomal RNA", at positions 49 to 526 of the family's 1533-position model. The record is from RNAcentral.
UAAUACAUGCAAGUCGAGCGGACAGAAGGGAGCUUGCUCCCGGAUGUUAGCGGCGGACGGGUGAGUAACACGUGGGUAACCUGCCUGUAAGACUGGGAUAACUCCGGGAAACCGGAGCUAAUACCGGAUAGUUCCUUGAACCGCAUGGUUCAAGGAUGAAAGACGGUUUCGGCUGUCACUUACAGAUGGACCCGCGGCGCAUUAGCUAGUUGGUGAGGUAACGGCUCACCAAGGCGACGAUGCGUAGCCGACCUGAGAGGGUGAUCGGCCACACUGGGACUGAGACACGGCCCAGACUCCUACGGGAGGCAGCAGUAGGGAAUCUUCCGCAAUGGACGAAAGUCUGACGGAGCAACGCCGCGUGAGUGAUGAAGGUUUUCGGAUCGUAAAGCUCUGUUGUUAGGGAAGAACAAGUGCAAGAGUAACUGCUUGCACCUUGACGGUACCUAACCAGAAAGCCACGGCUAACUACGUGCCAGCAGCCGCGGUAAUAC